GGGUUGUGAGGUUAAGCGACUAAGCGUACACGGUGGAUGCCCUGGCAGUCAGAGGCGAUGAAGGACGUGCUAAUCUGCGAUAAGCGUCGGUAAGGUGAUAUGAACCGUUAUAACCGGCGAUUUCCGAAUGGGGAAACCCAGUGUGUUUCGACACACUAUCAUUAACUGAAUCCAUAGGUUAAUGAGGCGAACCGGGGGAACUGAAACAUCUAAGUACCCCGAGGAAAAGAAAUCAACCGAGAUUCCCCCAGUAGCGGCGAGCGAACGGGGAGCAGCCCAGAGUCUGAAUCAGUGUGUGUGUUAGUGGAAGCGUCUGGAAAGGCGCGCGAUACAGGGUGACAGCCCCGUACACAAAAAUGCACAUGCUGUGAGCUCGAUGAGUAGGGCGGGACACGUGGUAUCCUGUCUGAAUAUGGGGGGACCAUCCUCCAAGGCUAAAUACUCCUGACUGACCGAUAGUGAACCAGUACCGUGAGGGAAAGGCGAAAAGAACCCCGGCGAGGGGAGUGAAAAAGAACCUGAAACCGUGUACGUACAAGCAGUGGGAGCACAGAGCAAUCUGUGUGACUGCGUACCUUUUGUAUAAUGGGUCAGCGACUUAUAUUCUGUAGCAAGGUUAACCGAAUAGGGGAGCCGAAGGGAAACCGAGUCUUAACUGGGCGUUAAGUUGCAGGGUAUAGACCCGAAACCCGGUGAUCUAGCCAUGGGCAGGUUGAAGGUUGGGUAACACUAACUGGAGGACCGAACCGACUAAUGUUGAAAAAUUAGCGGAUGACUUGUGGCUGGGGGUGAAAGGCCAAUCAAACCGGGAGAUAGCUGGUUCUCCCCGAAAGCUAUUUAGGUAGCGCCUCGUGAAUUCAUCUCCGGGGGUAGAGCACUGUUUCGGCAAGGGGGUCAUCCCGACUUACCAACCCGAUGCAAACUGCGAAUACCGGAGAAUGUUAUCACGGGAGACACACGGCGGGUGCUAACGUCCGUCGUGAAGAGGGAAACAACCCAGACCGCCAGCUAAGGUCCCAAAGUCAUGGUUAAGUGGGAAACGAUGUGGGAAGGCCCAGACAGCCAGGAUGUUGGCUUAGAAGCAGCCAUCAUUUAAAGAAAGCGUAAUAGCUCACUGGUCGAGUCGGCCUGCGCGGAAGAUGUAACGGGGCUAAACCAUGCACCGAAGCUGCGGCAGCGACGCUUAUGCGUUGUUGGGUAGGGGAGCGUUCUGUAAGCCUGUGAAGGUGUGCUGUGAGGCAUGCUGGAGGUAUCAGAAGUGCGAAUGCUGACAUAAGUAACGAUAAAGCGGGUGAAAAGCCCGCUCGCCGGAAGACCAAGGGUUCCUGUCCAACGUUAAUCGGGGCAGGGUGAGUCGACCCCUAAGGCGAGGCCGAAAGGCGUAGUCGAUGGGAAACAGGUUAAUAUUCCUGUACUUGGUGUUACUGCGAAGGGGGGACGGAGAAGGCUAUGUUGGCCGGGCGACGGUUGUCCCGGUUUAAGCGUGUAGGCUGGUUUUCCAGGCAAAUCCGGAAAAUCAAGGCUGAGGCGUGAUGACGAGGCACUACGGUGCUGAAGCAACAAAUGCCCUGCUUCCAGGAAAAGCCUCUAAGCAUCAGGUAACAUCAAAUCGUACCCCAAACCGACACAGGUGGUCAGGUAGAGAAUACCAAGGCGCUUGAGAGAACUCGGGUGAAGGAACUAGGCAAAAUGGUGCCGUAACUUCGGGAGAAGGCACGCUGAUAUGUAGGUGAAGUCCCUCGCGGAUGGAGCUGAAAUCAGUCGAAGAUACCAGCUGGCUGCAACUGUUUAUUAAAAACACAGCACUGUGCAAACACGAAAGUGGACGUAUACGGUGUGACGCCUGCCCGGUGCCGGAAGGUUAAUUGAUGGGGUCAGCGCAAGCGAAGCUCUUGAUCGAAGCCCCGGUAAACGGCGGCCGUAACUAUAACGGUCCUAAGGUAGCGAAAUUCCUUGUCGGGUAAGUUCCGACCUGCACGAAUGGCGUAAUGAUGGCCAGGCUGUCUCCACCCGAGACUCAGUGAAAUUGAACUCGCUGUGAAGAUGCAGUGUACCCGCGGCAAGACGGAAAGACCCCGUGAACCUUUACUAUAGCUUGACACUGAACAUUGAGCCUUGAUGUGUAGGAUAGGUGGGAGGCUUUGAAGUGUGGACGCCAGUCUGCAUGGAGCCGACCUUGAAAUACCACCCUUUAAUGUUUGAUGUUCUAACGUGGACCCGUGAUCCGGGUUGCGGACAGUGUCUGGUGGGUAGUUUGACUGGGGCGGUCUCCUCCUAAAGAGUAACGGAGGAGCACGAAGGUUGGCUAAUCCUGGUCGGACAUCAGGAGGUUAGUGCAAUGGCAUAAGCCAGCUUGACUGCGAGCGUGACGGCGCGAGCAGGUGCGAAAGCAGGUCAUAGUGAUCCGGUGGUUCUGAAUGGAAGGGCCAUCGCUCAACGGAUAAAAGGUACUCCGGGGAUAACAGGCUGAUACCGCCCAAGAGUUCAUAUCGACGGCGGUGUUUGGCACCUCGAUGUCGGCUCAUCACAUCCUGGGGCUGAAGUAGGUCCCAAGGGUAUGGCUGUUCGCCAUUUAAAGUGGUACGCGAGCUGGGUUUAGAACGUCGUGAGACAGUUCGGUCCCUAUCUGCCGUGGGCGCUGGAGAACUGAGGGGGGCUGCUCCUAGUACGAGAGGACCGGAGUGGACGCAUCACUGGUGUUCGGGUUGUCAUGCCAAUGGCACUGCCCGGUAGCUAAAUGCGGAAGAGAUAAGUGCUGAAAGCAUCUAAGCACGAAACUUGCCCCGAGAUGAGUUCUCCCUGACCCUUUAAGGGUCCUGAAGGAACGUUGAAGACGACGACGUUGAUAGGCCGGGUGUGUAAGCGCAGCGAUGCGUUGAGCUAACCGGUACUAAUGAACCGUGAGGCUUAACCUUACAACGCCGAAGGUGUUU
This 2933-nucleotide ribosomal RNA is filed under the name Escherichia coli. Its description in RNAcentral is "23S ribosomal RNA". It matches the Rfam family "Bacterial large subunit ribosomal RNA". The record is from RNAcentral. Lineage: Bacteria; Pseudomonadati; Pseudomonadota; Gammaproteobacteria; Enterobacterales; Enterobacteriaceae.